AAACUCAAAUGAAUUGACGGGGACCCGCACAAGCGGUGGAUGAUGUGGUUUAAUUCGAUGCAACGCGAAAAACCUUACCUACCCUUGACAUGUCAAGAAUCUUGCAGAGAUGUGAGAGUGCUCGAAAGAGAACUUGAACACAGGUGCUGCAUGGCCGUCGUCAGCUCGUGUCGUGAGAUGUUGGGUUAAGUCCCGCAACGAGCGCAACCCUUGUCAUUAGUUGCUACGAAAGGGCACUCUAAUGAGACUGCCGGUGACAAACCGGAGGAAGGUGGGGAUGACGUCAGGUCCUCAUGGCCCUUAUGGGUAGGGCUACACACGUCAUACAAUGGCCGGGACAGAGGGCAGCCAACCCGCGAGGGGGAGCCAAUCCCAGAAACCCGGUCGUAGUCCGGAUCGCAGUCUGCAACUCGACUGCGUGAAGUCGGAAUCGCUAGUAAUCGCGGAUCAGCUUGCCGCGGUGAAUACGUUCCCGGGUCUUGUACACACCGCCCGUCACACCAUGGGAGCGGGUUCUGCCAGAAGUAGUUAGCCUAACCGCAAGGAGGGCGAUUACCACGGCAGGGUUCGUGACUGGGGUGAAGUCGUAACAAGGUAGCCGUAUCGGAAGGUGCGGCUGGAUCACCUCCUUUAUG
RNAcentral lists this ribosomal RNA (635 nucleotides) under uncultured Aquabacterium sp. Its description in RNAcentral is "bacterial SSU rRNA". It matches the Rfam family "Bacterial small subunit ribosomal RNA", at positions 897 to 1533 of the family's 1533-position model. The record is from RNAcentral. Lineage: Bacteria; Pseudomonadati; Pseudomonadota; Betaproteobacteria; Burkholderiales; Sphaerotilaceae.